GACGAACGCUGGCGGCGUGCUUAACACAUGCAAGUCGAACGGAAAGGCCCUGCUUUUGUGGGGUGCUCGAUUGGCGAACGGGGGAGUAACACGUGAGUAACCUGCCCUUGACUUUGGGAUAACUUCAGGAAACUGGGGCUAAUACCGGAUAGGAGCUCCUGCUGCAUGGGGGGGGUUGGAAAGUUUCGGCGGUUGGGGAUGGACUCGCGGCUUAUCAGCUUGUUGGUGGGGUAGUGGCUGCCCAAGGCUUUGACGGGUAGCCGGCCUGAGAGGGUGACCGGCCACAUUGGGCCUGAGAUACGGCCCAGACUCCUACGGGCGGCAGCAGUGGGGAAUAUUGCACAGUGGGCGGAAGCCUGAUGCAGAAACGCCGCGUGCGGGAUGACGGCCUUCGGGUUGUAAACCGCUUUCGCCUGUGACGAAGCGUGCGUGACGGUAAUGGGUAAAGAAGCACCGGCUAACUACGUG
Molecule: ribosomal RNA, 468 nt
Filed under: uncultured bacterium
Lineage: Bacteria
Description: partial 16S ribosomal RNA
Rfam family: Bacterial small subunit ribosomal RNA
Source: RNAcentral